This 495-nucleotide ribosomal RNA is filed under the name uncultured bacterium. RNAcentral describes it as "partial 16S ribosomal RNA". It matches the Rfam family "Bacterial small subunit ribosomal RNA", at positions 28 to 523 of the family's 1533-position model. The record is from RNAcentral.
GAUGAACGCUAGCGGGAGGCCUAACACAUGCAAGCCGAGCGGUAUUGUUUCUUCGGAAAUGAGAGAGCGGCGUACGGGUGCGUAACACGUGUGCAACCUGCCUUUAUCUGGGGGAUAGCCUUUCGAAAGGAAGAUUAAUACUCCAUAAUAUAUUGAACGGCAUCGUUUAAUAUUGAAAGCUCCGGCGGAUAGAGAUGGGCACGCGCAAGAUUAGCUAGUUGGUGAGGUAACGGCUCACCAAGGGGAUGAUCUUUAGGGGGCCUGAGAGGGUGGUCCCCCACACUGGUACUGAGACACGGACCAGACUCCUACGGGAGGCAGCAGUGAGGAAUAUUGGUCAAUGGGUGCAAGCCUGAACCAGCCAUCCCGCGUGAAGGACGACUGCCCUAUGGGUUGUAAACUUCUUUUGUAUAGGGAUAAACCUACCCUCGUGAGGGUAGCUGAAGGUACUAUACGAAUAAGCACCGGCUAACUCCGUGCCAGCCGCCGCGGUAA